GCGGGAGUGGCGGAACUGGCAGACGCGCUGGACUUAGGAUCCAGUGCCCUCGUGGCGUGCGGGUUCGACUCCCGCCUCCCGCACCA
Molecule: transfer RNA, 86 nt
Filed under: Thermovibrio ammonificans HB-1
Lineage: Bacteria; Pseudomonadati; Aquificota; Aquificia; Desulfurobacteriales; Desulfurobacteriaceae
Also listed under: 1 other name
Description: tRNA-Leu (TAG) (tRNA-Leu-TAG-1-1)
Rfam family: tRNA
About the family: Transfer RNA (tRNA) molecules are approximately 80 nucleotides in length. Their secondary structure includes four short double-helical elements and three loops (D, anti-codon, and T loops). Further hydrogen bonds mediate the characteristic L-shaped molecular structure. tRNAs have two regions of fundamental functional importance: the anti-codon, which is responsible for specific mRNA codon recognition, and the 3' end, to which the tRNAs corresponding amino acid is attached (by aminoacyl-tRNA synthetases). tRNAs cope with the degeneracy of the genetic code in two manners: having more than one tRNA (with a specific anti-codon) for a particular amino acid; and 'wobble' base-pairing, i.e. permitting non-standard base-pairing at the 3rd anti-codon position.
Source: RNAcentral